UGGAAUAUGAAUUAUCCCAGCCGCCAUCUCUAGAAAGUUGUUCUGUCGACAGCGACUGUGAAGAUGGUGAGAAAUGUGUAGAGGAUCAAAACUUAGGAGUGCUCGUGUGUGUGCCAGAAGACAAUGAGAGAGAGCAACAGAACUGGUUUGGAAGAAAAGUACAGAGGAUACGGUUUGUCAGACUCCAGAGGAGGAGGUAUGGAAGAAGAUUUCAGAGGAUUAGGUAUUGGAGAAGACUUCAAGGAAGAAGAUUUGGAAAAGGAUUUCAAAAGUAUUAGAGAAAUUUUAGGAGGAGAAGGUUUGAGAGAGACCUUCAGAGGAGAUGGGCGCAGCACUGAUGAAGCUGUAUAAAGGACACGAGCCUUACUGAAUUAAUUUCACCGUGUUUUGUGUAUAGGAAUAAGAUGUUAAACAUGAAGAUGCCUCAUUAAAUCUUAUUUUUAGAAAUUC
Long non-coding RNA from Saccostrea echinata, 450 nucleotides. RefSeq lists it as uncharacterized. Lineage: Eukaryota; Metazoa; Mollusca; Bivalvia; Ostreida; Ostreidae. The record is from RefSeq and is a predicted model, not a curated record. The transcript is spliced from 2 exons.